RNAcentral lists this ribosomal RNA (120 nucleotides) under uncultured bacterium. RNAcentral's name for it is "partial 16S ribosomal RNA". It matches the Rfam family "Bacterial small subunit ribosomal RNA", at positions 796 to 918 of the family's 1533-position model. The record is from RNAcentral.
CACGCUGUAAACGAUGAUUACUAGGUGUUGGGGGUCGAACCUCAGCGCCCAAGCAAACGCGAUAAGUAAUCCGCCUGGGGAGUACGUACGCAAGUAUGAAACUCAAAGGAAUUGACGGGG